GACGAACCGUCCUAACGUUGUUCGGAAUCACUGGGCUUAAAGGGCGCGUAGGCGGUCGGCAAAGUCAGGGGUGAAAUCUUUCGGCUUAACCGGAAAAGUGCCUUUGAAACUAGUCGGCUCGAGUGAGAUAGGGGCAUGUGGAACUUCCGGUGGAGCGGUGAAAUGCGUUGAUAUCGGAAGGAACGCCGGUGGCGAAAGCGACAUGCUGGAUCUCUUCUGACGCUGAGGCGCGAAAGCUAGGGGAGCAAACGGG
Molecule: ribosomal RNA, 253 nt
Filed under: uncultured bacterium
Lineage: Bacteria
Description: partial 16S ribosomal RNA
Rfam family: Bacterial small subunit ribosomal RNA
Source: RNAcentral